GGCGGGGUAGCCAAGUGGUAAGGCACGGCUCUGCAAAAGCCGAAUGCGUGGGUUCGAUUCCCGCCCUCGCCU
Molecule: transfer RNA, 72 nt
Filed under: Methylacidiphilales bacterium
Lineage: Bacteria; Pseudomonadati; Verrucomicrobiota; Methylacidiphilae; Methylacidiphilales
Description: Candidatus Methylacidiphilales bacterium tRNA-Cys
Rfam family: tRNA
About the family: Transfer RNA (tRNA) molecules are approximately 80 nucleotides in length. Their secondary structure includes four short double-helical elements and three loops (D, anti-codon, and T loops).
Source: RNAcentral